This 58-nucleotide transfer RNA is filed under the name Saara loricata. Its description in RNAcentral is "tRNA-Ser". The record is from RNAcentral. Lineage: Eukaryota; Metazoa; Chordata; Lepidosauria; Squamata; Agamidae.
GAAGGGGCCCAGAGGACUGCUACUCCUCACACCCGAAGUUAACUACUCGGACCCGUCA